GACAUAGGUGGCGAACGUUAUCCGGAAUUAUUGGGCGUAAAGGGUGCGUAGGCGGUUUAAUAAGUUAUUGGUGGAAAACCAGGGCUCAACCCUGUGUAAGCCAGUAAUACUAUUAGACUAGAGGGCCGGAGGGGUUAACGGAACUCUAUGUGGAGCGGUAAAAUGCACAGAUAUAUAGAAGAACAUCAAUAAAGGCGAAGGCAGUUAACUAUUCUGUUACUGACGCUGAGGCACGAAAGCGUGGGGAGCAAAACGG
RNAcentral lists this ribosomal RNA (256 nucleotides) under uncultured bacterium. RNAcentral's name for it is "partial 16S ribosomal RNA". It matches the Rfam family "Bacterial small subunit ribosomal RNA", at positions 524 to 776 of the family's 1533-position model. The record is from RNAcentral.